RNAcentral lists this ribosomal RNA (1343 nucleotides) under uncultured bacterium. Its description in RNAcentral is "16S ribosomal RNA". It matches the Rfam family "Bacterial small subunit ribosomal RNA", at positions 28 to 1378 of the family's 1533-position model. The record is from RNAcentral.
GACGAACGCUGGCGGCGUGCUUAACACAUGCAAGUCGAACGGAAAGGCCCUGCUUUUGUGGGGUGCUCGAGUGGCGAACGGGUGAGUAACACGUGAGUAACCUGCCCUUGACUUUGGGAUAACUUCAGGAAACUGGGGCUAAUACCGGAUAGGAGCUCCUGCUGCAUGGUGGGGGUUGGAAAGUUUCGGCGGUUGGGGAUGGACUCGCGGCUUAUCAGCUUGUUGGUGGGGUAGUGGCUUACCAAGGCUUUGACGGGUAGCCGGCCUGAGAGGGUGACCGGCCACAUUGGGACUGAGAUACGGCCCAGACUCCUACGGGAGGCAGCAGUGGGGAAUAUUGCACAAUGGGCGGAAGCCUGAUGCAGCAACGCCGCGUGCGGGAUGACGGCCUUCGGGUUGUAAACCGCUUUCGCCUGUGACGAAGCGUGAGUGACGGUAAUGGGUAAAGAAGCACCGGCUAACUACGUGCCAGCAGCCGCGGUGAUACGUAGGGUGCGAGCGUUGUCCGGAUUUAUUGGGCGUAAAGGGCUCGUAGGUGGUUGAUCGCGUCGGAAGUGUAAUCUUGGGGCUUAACCCUGAGCGUGCUUUCGAUACGGGUUGACUUGAGGAAGGUAGGGGAGAAUGGAAUUCCUGGUGGAGCGGUGGAAUGCGCAGAUAUCAGGAGGAACACCAGUGGCGAAGGCGGUUCUCUGGGCCUUUCCUGACGCUGAGGAGCGAAAGCGUGGGGAGCGAACAGGCUUAGAUACCCUGGUAGUCCGCGCUGUAAACGGUGGGUACUAGGUGUGGGGUCCAUUCCACGGGUUCCGUGCCGUAGCUAACGCUUUAAGUACCCCGCCUGGGGAGUACGGCCGCAAGGCUAAAACUCAAAGGAAUUGACGGGGCCCCGCACAAGCGGCGGAGCAUGCGGAUUAAUUCGAUGCAACGCGUAGAACCUUACCUGGGUUUGACAUGGAUCGGGAGUGCCCAGAGAUGGGUGUGCCUCUUUUGGGGUCGGUUCACAGGUGGUGCAUGGCUGUCGUCAGCUCGUGUCGUGAGAUGUUGGGUUAAGUCCCGCAACGAGCGCAACCCUUGUUCACUGUUGCCAGCACGUUAUGGUGGGGACUCAGUGGAGACCGCCGGGGUCAACUCGGAGGAAGGUGGGGAUGACGUCAAGUCAUCAUGCCCCUUAUGUCCAGGGCUUCACGCAUGCUACAAUGGCUGGUACAGAGAGUGGCGAGCCUGUGAGGGUGAGCGAAUCUCGGAAAGCCGGUCUCAGUUCGGAUUGGGGUCUGCAACUCGACCUCAUGAAGUCGGAGUCGCUAGUAAUCGCAGAUCAGCAACGCUGCGGUGAAUACGUUCCCGGG